RNAcentral lists this ribosomal RNA (710 nucleotides) under uncultured marine alveolate. RNAcentral's name for it is "SSU rRNA". It matches the Rfam family "Eukaryotic small subunit ribosomal RNA", at positions 617 to 1333 of the family's 1831-position model. The record is from RNAcentral.
GGUAAAAAAGCUCGUAGUUGGAUUUCUGUUGAGGACGACCGGUCCAUACCAUGUAUGCGCAUCUGGUUCGGCCUCGGCAUCCUCUCGUUUUGGGUUUCUGUGCUUGAUUGCAUGGAGCUUAUAGCGGGACUUUUACUUUGAGGAAAUUAGAGUGUUCACGGCAGGCUAUCGCCAGAAUACAUUAGCAUGGAAUAAUAUUAUAGGAUCGAGAUUCUAUUUUGUUGGUUUCUAGAAUUUUGAUAAUGAUUAAUAGGGACAAUUGGGGGCAUUCGUAUCAACACGUCAGAGGUGGAAUUCUUGGAUUGUGUUGCGACGAACUACUGCGAAAGCAUUUGCCAAGGAUGUUUUCAUUGAUCAAGAACGAAAGUAAGGGGAUCGAAGACGAUUAGAUACCGUCGUAGUCUUUACCAUAAACUAUGCCAACUAGAGAUGGGACAUCGUUCACUUACGACUUGUUCCGCACCUUAUGAGAUAUCAAAGUCUUUGGGUUCCGGGGGGAGUAUGGUCGCAAGGCUGAAACUUAAAGGAAUUGACGGAAGGGCACCACCAGGAGUGGAGCCUGCGGCUUAAUUUGACUCAACACGGGGAAACUCACCAGGUCCAGACAUAAUAAGGGUUGACAGAUUGAUAGCUCUUUCUUGAUUUUAUGGGUGGUGGUGCAUGGCCGUUCUUAGUUCGUGGAGUGAUUUGUCUGCUUAAUUGCGUUAACG